Molecule: long non-coding RNA, 677 nt
Filed under: Solanum tuberosum (potato)
Lineage: Eukaryota; Viridiplantae; Streptophyta; Magnoliopsida; Solanales; Solanaceae
Description: long non-coding RNA (STUB_LNC007561)
Source: RNAcentral
CUUCUUAUACCAGUGCUCUACAUGUUGAUCAGGAUCUUGAUUCAAGUAAUAAUAAGCACAAAUAGCAUGAGGGCAAGGAAUACCUCUCAACAUCCACAACCUACAGUCACAAUGUUUCUUCUCCAAGUCAACAACAAAUGAAUAUUCCCCCUCACUAAUUUCAAAACCAUUCAACCCAUUCCAUUGAACAUUACAAUUAUUUGAAUACUCCUUGUUUCUAACAUUACAGUUCUUUGAAUACUCCUUGUUUCUUUCUAGUAUUGCCCUUGCCAUAGGUGCAAUGUCUGAUAUCCAUGUUUCAGCAAAUUUGAUCAUGUCUAUAUGUCUGUUCAUCAUUUUAUGCCUAAUAUCCUCUAACAUGGUAAUAAUUGAUUUAUGUCUAGCAGCUAAGAUCCAGGAAUUGAAAGUCUCACACAUGUUAUUUUCUACAACAUCACACUUGGAGUGAGUUUGGAAAAAGGCCCUAGACCAAUUUCUGGGAUCAUAAUGUAGCAAGUCCUCUGUUAUUUCCUUCUUACCUAGCUUGGACAUUGCAUGAACUUCUUCUCCAAACAUGACUUCAAAGGAGGCCUUUGAACAUCUCCAAAACUGUUUCCUUCUUUCUUCUCCUUUCCAGUUCACAUGCCAGUUACUCCAUAUAUGUCUAGCACACAUCCUUUUCUCAGCAUUUGGUAACA